RNAcentral lists this ribosomal RNA (484 nucleotides) under uncultured bacterium. RNAcentral's name for it is "partial 16S ribosomal RNA". It matches the Rfam family "Bacterial small subunit ribosomal RNA", at positions 30 to 507 of the family's 1533-position model. The record is from RNAcentral.
AUUGAACGCUGGCGGCAGGCCUAACACAUGCAAGUCGAGCGGAUGAAGGGAACUUGCUCCUGGAUUCAGCGGCGGACGGGUGAGUAAUGCCUAGGAAUCUGCCUGGUAGUGGGGGAUAACGUCCGGAAACGGGCGCUAAUACCGCAUACGUCCUGAUGGAGAAAGUGGGGGAUCUUCGGACCUCACGCUAUCAGAGGAGCCUAGGUCGGAUUAGCUAGUUGGUGGGGUAAAGGCCUACCAAGGCGACGAUCCGUAACUGGUCUGAGAGGAUGAUCAGUCACACUGGAACUGAGACACGGUCAAGACUCCUACGGGAGGCAGCAGUGGGGAAUAGUGGACAAUAGGCGAAAGCCUUAUACAGCCAUGCCGCGUGUGUGAAGAAGGUCUUCGGAUUGUAAAGAACUUUUAGUUGGGAGGAAGGGCAGUAAGUUAAUACCUUGCUGUUUUGACGUUAACAACAGAAUAAGCACCGGCUAACUUCGUG